Molecule: long non-coding RNA, 1175 nt
Organism: Panicum virgatum (switchgrass)
Lineage: Eukaryota; Viridiplantae; Streptophyta; Magnoliopsida; Poales; Poaceae
Exons: 5
Source: RefSeq, a predicted model, not a curated record
UCCAUCUCCAAAUCCAUGCCCAUUUUCCUUCUCCACUCUCUCGUCGAUCUAGUUCUUCCACCAGCGAAUGCGUCCCUCUUCCCUCUCUCGGCGCCAAGGCCAUGUCACGCCCGCUCUGGCGCCCUCAACAUGUUCGACGGAUUGCCUCGCCGCCUCACCGCUCCUCCUCCUUGGCUCUGCGGCGCCGCGCGCGGGGACAAGGACCGGGCUCGUGGCACAAUGACAGCAAGCGGGCAUUGCUCGAACCGAAUACCAAGGUGGCGGGCGGAGCUCAACUAGCUGGCGCGUGGGACGGCGGGAGUCCCCAGCGUUCGUCCUACCUGUGCCAGGUGGUCAGCAAGCAACAUUGAUGGUCGACAACUCUAGUAGUGGUGCUUAGUGGAAUUUGCCACCAAAUGAAGAAGAGUACAUUUUUUUCACAAAGUGCCUUAUGACAUCGAGUUUUCUGGAACUAGUCUGUGGAACCAACUCGAGUGGGGUGGUGCUUUUGAUGUUCCUAUGUGUGAUGCAAUAAUGAGGUUCUACAAAUCACUUGAUGAUCAAGUGUAUGAGCCAGGACAUAACCGCUGGAGACAUUUCCUUCCAGCAACUUUUGCUGAGAGAGUGCUAAAUGGAGAUUACUACCUUGGUGACAACCGGAUCCAUUCUUCGUUUCUUGGCAACCAUACAACAUUGAAGAUUGUGUCAUGGAACUACUCAGGGUUGUUUGCCACACACACACUAUGCUCGUGCUUUUGAUGGCUUUCAGCUAUUAUGGGAACUAAAGACGGUUACCAACAAACUAAACAACAGUGAUUCUUUACUUUACUUUCUUUUUUGUGGGACACAUUAUCAACAUCUUUUUCUUGCUUCUGCAGGCUGAACAUGGACUAAACAUGAAGAGUUACUUUACCAACUUCUAAGUAAAGAAUGGCAGGGAAUUACGGAGACAUACCAGAAUUGUUGAUCGACCUGUAAAUUUGAGGAUGAUGCUUUUGUGUUGUGACCUCUAAACAACAGACCAUACACAAUCUCUAUUUGGUUGUUUGUUUUGGGUGGAAUACAAGUGACAUUGUUUAGGUUUGUUGUUGUGAGCACCAUUCAAGUUAGGUUUGGUUUGGUCUGUUUUAUUGAACAUCAUCUAUGUUUGAUCAAAUCUGUUUGAAUCAUUGACCUGUUGAUACCAUUUGAGCGUC